Molecule: ribosomal RNA, 485 nt
Filed under: uncultured bacterium
Lineage: Bacteria
Description: bacterial SSU rRNA
Rfam family: Bacterial small subunit ribosomal RNA
Source: RNAcentral
AUUGAACGCUGGCGGCAGGCCUAACACAUGCAAGUCGAGCGGUAGAGAGAAGCUUGCUUCUCUUGAGAGCGGCGGACGGGUGAGUAAUGCCUAGGAAUCUGCCUGGUAGUGGAGGAUAACGUUCGGAAACGGACGCUAAUACCGCAUACGUCCUACGGGAGAAAGCAGGGGACCUUCGGGCCUUGCGCUAUCAGAUGAGCCUAGGUCGGAUUAGCUAGUUGGUGAGGUAAUGGCUCACCAAGGCGACGAUCCGUAACUGGUCUGAGAGGAUGAUCAGUCACACUGGAACUGAGACACGGUCCAGACUCCUACGGGAGGCAGCAGUGGGGAAUAUUGGACAAUGGGCGAAAGCCUGAUCCAGCCAUGCCGCGUGUGUGAAGAAGGUCUUCGGAUUGUAAAGCACUUUAAGUUGGGAGGAAGGGCAUUAACCUAAUACGUUAGUGUUUUGACGUUACCGACAGAAUAAGCACCGGCUAACUCUGUGC